RNA transcript from Quercus robur (English oak), 1716 nucleotides. It is a transcript of the gene named two-component response regulator ARR18, with no coding region annotated. The record is from RefSeq and is a predicted model, not a curated record. The transcript is spliced from 6 exons. NCBI's taxonomy places the organism in Eukaryota, Viridiplantae, Streptophyta, Magnoliopsida, Fagales, Fagaceae.
UAAAAAGUAAGUAGACAAAUGGGGAGAGAGAGAGGGAAGUGUUUGCAUCUCCAAGUUGAGUAUACUUAUAUCUUUCUGCAAGAAUUCAACUGCCUUAUAAUUAUUCUAAGGAAUUCAUUUCCAUUUGCUUUGGCCUGAGGUAAGAGAGAUUAGGACAUCAAGGGCUCAUUCCUUAAAACACACAAAUGACCAUGAAUUCUUCUUAUUGUUAGUCAAUCCAUAUUUUAUACUUCAUCAGAAGCAUCAACAGACUAAAGAGAUGAAGUUAGGUGAUGAUGAAAAUACUCAAGUUUCCAAAACAAGCAGCCCUUCUAACAAGAGUGAUGAUGAUGAUGAUGAUGAAGAUGAGGGUGAUGAGGAAGUUGAUGAAACUGGCAAGCCCAAGAACGCUGGAAGCUCAAGUAACAUCACAGUUGAAGACAGUAGUGAAAAGAAGUCAGCUUCUGGAUCCGUACGACAAUAUGUUCGUUCUAAGAUGCCACGGCUUCGCUGGACCCCUGAGCUCCAUCUUUGCUUUGUUCACGCAGUUGAAAGACUUGGAGGCCAAGAGAGAGCAACACCCAAGUUGGUACUUCAGCUAAUGAAUAUCAAGGGUCUUAGCAUUGCUCAUGUGAAAAGCCAUCUUCAGAUGUAUAGGAGCAAGAAGAUGGACGACCACAAUCGAGUUCCAAACCAAGGGAUUUUCAUGGAAAACGGAGAUCACAAUAUCUACAAUCUUAGCCAACUUCCCAUGCUACAAAAUUUCAAUCAAAGGCCUUCUGGCUUAAGAUAUGGUGAUAUCGAUGCUUCUUGGAGAGGUCAUGACAGCAAGAUUUAUAGCCCUUUCAUGGGUAGGGCUGCACUUGAUCGCACUAGAAAUGGACUAUAUGGUUCAGUCACUGACAAAAUAUUUGCAAGCAACAAUAGUAGUACUUCAGCAAAUUUCAAUCUACAUAAGCGUGAUUCAUCUUUCAAUGGACAAGCUACGUGGUCAACAAGGCAUCAAAAUUUGAAUGAGCUCAAGUGGUUUCAGGGAUCAAAGCAAAUCCCACUUAAACAAAGCUCAAUGGAAACCAACCUCAUAACUCAACUCCAAGAGAGAGGAACAGAUGAUCAAGGAAUUUAUUUGAACAAUUCUGGUUCUCCCUGGAGAAAAAUUCAAGAAGCGCAAAACACAAUGAAAAGGAAAGCUUUGGAUAACACAGAUCAUGGGGGUCUAGAUUUGAAUUUGUCUCUUAAAGCAGCACCAAACAAUAAUGAGUUUGAAAAGGGUUUGGGUGGUGAUGAUAAGGUUGUUAGUAGUUUGUCUCUUUCAUUGUCUUCAUCUUCACCCUCAAAAUUUGGCAGGUUGAAGGAAGGCAAUAGUCAUUCGAGGCAUUCGGGGACGACGAGUACUCUGGAUCUGACUUUAUGAAUGAGACAAUUCUAAGUAAGAUCUUGAAGUACUUGUCUUAGAGCAAAUGUAUUAAGCCAUUAUAUCAUGUAUCAGCAUAUAAGGUAAUGGUCACAACACUCUUUCUUCUUUUGUUGUUUUCAUUGUCUUGUAUACAAGAUAUAUGGCUAACUAGUAAGCUUCAGUUGGUGUGGAGGAAUAGAUGAAUACUUUUAGCAUUACAAAAUAUGCACAUUGGGUUAAUGAUUUUGUUUGAGCGCAAAAGACAGCUCCUAGAUGCUGGAAGUCUUUGCUUGAAUAUUAGCAAUUCCUCCAUCACACCAAGCGAGAAAAAAAUGAAAAAA